GAUGAACGCUGGCGGCGUGCCUAAUACAUGCAAGUCGAGCGAACGGACGAGAAGCUUGCUUCUCUGAUGUUAGCGGCGGACGGGGGAGUAACACGUGGAUAACCUACCUAUAAGACUGGGAUAAAUUCGGGAAACCGGAGCUAAUACCGGAUGAUAUUUUGAACCGCAUGGUUCAAAAGUGAAAGACGGUCUUGCUGUCACUUAUAGAUGGAUCCGCGCUGCAUUAGCUAGUUGGUAAGGUAACGGCUUACCAAGGCAACGAUGCAUAGCCGACCUGAGAGGGUGAUCGGCCACACUGGAACUGAGACACGGUCCAGACUCCUACGGGAGGCAGCAGUAGGGAAUCUUCCGCAAUGGGCGAAAGCCUGACGGAGCAACGCCGCGUGAGUGAUGAAGGUCUUCGGAUCGUAAAACUCUGUUAUUAGGGAAGAACAUAUGUGUAAGUAACUGUGCACAUCUUGACGGUACCUAAUCAGAAAGCCACGGCUAACUACGUG
This 497-nucleotide ribosomal RNA is filed under the name uncultured bacterium. RNAcentral's name for it is "partial 16S ribosomal RNA". It matches the Rfam family "Bacterial small subunit ribosomal RNA", at positions 28 to 507 of the family's 1533-position model. The record is from RNAcentral.